RNAcentral lists this ribosomal RNA (420 nucleotides) under bacterium. Its description in RNAcentral is "partial 16S ribosomal RNA". It matches the Rfam family "Bacterial small subunit ribosomal RNA", at positions 355 to 776 of the family's 1533-position model. The record is from RNAcentral.
UGGGGGAUAUUGCCCAAUGUUCGAAAGCCUGAUGCAGCGACGCCGCGUGGGGGAUGAAGGCUUUCGGGUUGUAAACCUCUUUCGCUAUCGAACAAGGCCCGCUUAGGGUGGGUUGAGGGUAGGUGGAGAAGAAGCGCCGGCUAACUACGUGCCAGCAGCCGCGGUAAUACGUAGGGCGCGAGCGUUGUCCGGAAUUAUUGGGCGUAAAGGGCUUGUAGGCGGCUUGUUGCGCCUGCUGUGAAAACGCGGGGCUUAACUUCGCGCGUGCAGUGGGUACGGGCAGGCUUGAGUGUGGUAGGGGUGACUGGAAUUCCAGGUGUAGCGGUGGAAUGCGCAGAUAUCUGGAGGAACACCGAUGGCGAAGGCAGGUCACUGGGCCAUUACUGACGCUGAGGAGCGAAAGCAUGGGUAGCGAACAGG